CGGACCACGGUAGGAUCAGCGACUGGGGUGAAGUCGUAACAAGGUAGCCGUAGGGGAACCUGCGGCUGGAUCACCUCCUUU
RNAcentral lists this ribosomal RNA (81 nucleotides) under Porticoccaceae bacterium. RNAcentral's name for it is "partial 16S ribosomal RNA". It matches the Rfam family "Bacterial small subunit ribosomal RNA", at positions 1453 to 1533 of the family's 1533-position model. Lineage: Bacteria; Pseudomonadati; Pseudomonadota; Gammaproteobacteria; Cellvibrionales; Porticoccaceae. The record is from RNAcentral.